This is a long non-coding RNA of Esox lucius (northern pike), 390 nucleotides long. RefSeq lists it as uncharacterized. The record is from RefSeq and is a predicted model, not a curated record. NCBI's taxonomy places the organism in Eukaryota, Metazoa, Chordata, Actinopteri, Esociformes, Esocidae. The transcript has 3 exons.
CCGGGCACCACUAGUCGGCAAUGGCAAUAGCGUCUCCCUGAGCGUCCUUACAAUGUCCGGUGGAGGGUGAAAGUUGUCAAAAACUCUGCUGUGCAUUGUGCUCCGAUGUCUAGGAGUGCUUGUUGGCUGUAUUGAGUGAUUAAGCUAAAAACUACGUUGAGCCGCAAUACGCACGUGAUGCCAAACGCCACCAUCUUGGUCAUCUAUGCAGCAGCACUAGGCAUAUUGGUAAACAAAUAGAGGGCAGGACAAAGGAAACACAGCAAGUGCUCCGCGCCUGUCUCCUGCCUCCUGUUUCAUCAUUACAAUUUCCGAGAAGAGGUCUGCAAUAACACUUUCUCGGGAUGUACACUUCCAGAUUGGAGAUGGUGAAGAGCAACAUACUUUCAU